This 615-nucleotide unclassified non-coding RNA is filed under the name Rhodotorula mucilaginosa. RNAcentral describes it as "sequence contains 18S rRNA gene, ITS1, 5.8S rRNA gene, ITS2, 28S rRNA gene". The stretch from base 195 to 348 matches the Rfam family "5.8S ribosomal RNA". The record is from RNAcentral. Lineage: Eukaryota; Fungi; Basidiomycota; Microbotryomycetes; Sporidiobolales; Sporidiobolaceae.
GUAACAAGGUUUCCGUAGGUGAACCUGCGGAAGGAUCAUUAGUGAAUAUAGGACGUCCAACUUAACUUGGAGUCCGAACUCUCACUUUCUAACCCUGUGCAUUUGUUUGGGAUAGUAACUCUCGCAAGAGGGCGAACUCCUAUUCACUUAUAAACACAAAGUCUAUGAAUGUAUUAAAUUUUAUAACAAAAUAAAACUUUCAACAACGGAUCUCUUGGCUCUCGCAUCGAUGAAGAACGCAGCGAAAUGCGAUAAGUAAUGUGAAUUGCAGAAUUCAGUGAAUCAUCGAAUCUUUGAACGCACCUUGCGCUCCAUGGUAUUCCGUGGAGCAUGCCUGUUUGAGUGUCAUGAAUACUUCAACCCUCCUCUUUCUUAAUGAUUGAAGAGGUGUUUGGUUUCUGAGCGCUGCUGGCCUUUAGGGUCUAGCUCGUUCGUAAUGCAUUAGCAUCCGCAAUCGAACUUCGGAUUGACUUGGCGUAAUAGACUAUUCGCUGAGGAAUUCUAGUCUUCGGACUAGAGCCGGGUUGGGUUAAAGGAAGCUUCUAAUCAGAAUGUCUACAUUUUAAGAUUAGAUCUCAAAUCAGGUAGGACUACCCGCUGAACUUAAGCAUAUCA